UACGAAGGGGGCUAGCGUUGCUCGGAAUCACUGGGCGUAAAGCGCACGUAGGCGGCUUUUUAAGUCAGGGGUGAAAUCCUGGAGCUCAACUCCAGAACUGCCUUUGAUACUGAGAAGCUUGAGUCCGGGAGAGGUGAGUGGAACUGCGAGUGUAGAGGUGAAAUUCGUAGAUAUUCGCAAGAACACCAGUGGCGAAGGCGGGUCACUGGCCCGAUACUGACGCUGAGGUGCGAAAGCGUGGGGAGCAAACAGG
This 253-nucleotide ribosomal RNA is filed under the name uncultured bacterium. Its description in RNAcentral is "partial 16S ribosomal RNA". It matches the Rfam family "Bacterial small subunit ribosomal RNA", at positions 524 to 776 of the family's 1533-position model. The record is from RNAcentral.